This 73-nucleotide transfer RNA is filed under the name Bacillus sp. 3255. RNAcentral describes it as "tRNA-His". It matches the Rfam family "tRNA". Rfam says of the family: Transfer RNA (tRNA) molecules are approximately 80 nucleotides in length. Their secondary structure includes four short double-helical elements and three loops (D, anti-codon, and T loops). The record is from RNAcentral. Lineage: Bacteria; Bacillati; Bacillota; Bacilli; Caryophanales; Bacillaceae. RNAcentral also lists the same sequence under 2 other names.
GCGGUCGUGGCGAAGUGGUUAACGCACUGGUCUGUGGCUCCAGCACUCGCGGGUUCAAGUCCCGUCGAUCGCC